RNAcentral lists this ribosomal RNA (484 nucleotides) under uncultured bacterium. RNAcentral describes it as "partial 16S ribosomal RNA". It matches the Rfam family "Bacterial small subunit ribosomal RNA", at positions 30 to 507 of the family's 1533-position model. The record is from RNAcentral.
AUUGAACGCUGGCGGCAGGCCUAACACAUGCAAGUCGAGCGGAUGAAGGGUGCUUGCUCUUGGUUUACGCGGCGGACGGGUGUGUAAUGCCUAGGAAUCUGCCUGGUAGUGGGGGAUAACGUCCGGAAACGGGCGCUAAUAACGCAUACGUCCAGAGGGUGAUAGUGGGGGUUCUUCGGACAUUACGCUAUAAGAUGAGUCUAGGUCGAAUUAGAUAGUUGGGGGGGGAAAGACCUACUAAGGCGAGUAUCCGCGACUGGUCUGGGAGGAGGAUCAGUCACACUGGAACGGGAACACGGCCCAGACUCCUACGGGAGGCAGCAGUGGGGAAUUUUGGACAAUGGGCGAAAGCCUGAUCCAGCCAGGCCGCGUGGUUGAAGAAGGUCUUCGGAUUGUAAAGCACGUUAUGUGGGGAGGAAGGGCAGGAAGUUAAUACCUUGCUGUUUUGACGUUACCUACAGAAUAAGCACCGGCUAACUUCGUG